This 913-nucleotide long non-coding RNA is filed under the name Anser cygnoides (Swan goose). Its description in RNAcentral is "lncRNA (ENSACDG00005018868.1)". Lineage: Eukaryota; Metazoa; Chordata; Aves; Anseriformes; Anatidae. The record is from RNAcentral.
UGCAGCCGCGGCCCCGCCCGCGAUUCGAAUCUCCCGCCGCAGGGCGGUCACGUGGGGCCGCGCGGGGGCUGUCGGGACUUGUAGUUCUCGGCGCGGGGCUGAGGCCUGCUGUGCCACCCGGCCCAAGUGGCCGCUGGUGUCACCCGUCACGGGUGGCUGGUUGUGUCACCCGCCACAAGUGGGUGGUUGUGUCACCCGUCACGGGUGGCUGGUUAUGCCAUCCGUCGUGGGUGUCCGGUUGUGCCCCCUGUCACAAAUAGAUGGCUCUGUCACCCAUCACAGGCGUCCGGUUGUGCCACCCGUCACGAGUCACCAGUUGUGUCACCUGUCGGGGGUGGCCGGUUGUGCCACCCGUCACAAGUGGCCGGUUGUGUCGCCUGUCACGGGUGGCCGGUUGUGCCCCCACGCGGCCGGUCGCGCCCCCUGUCACAAGCAGACGAUUGUGUCACCCAUCCCAAGCGCCCAGUUGUGCCACCCACCACAGGUGGCCGCUUGGGCCACCCGCCACAGCCGCCACGCGCCCGCAGGCCCCGGUUACCAUGGCACGGCACGGCCCCACGGUGGCGGAGCUGAAACCGGAGCCUGCGGGGCCAUUGCGGCAGCGAGCCCUCCCCGCGGAGCCCUGGCCUCGGCCCGCGUUCCUGCCGCUCCCCGGGCACCCAAGGGCCGCCGGUGGCCGUCACCAGCCGGCUGCGAGGCCAGGUGGCACUCGGGGACACCUCAGAAAGCCUCAUCCUCCGCCCAGGGAGCCGUGCUUCGCUCCCUGCCCGCUCGGAACCUAAAAGGACAACAGUGUGUCACUGCCCAUGGCUGCAGAACUGAGAGCACAGCCCACAGCCCCCGUGGACCCCACAGCCCCCGCGGACCCCACAGACCCCACAGCCCCCGCGGACCCCACAGCCCCCACGGACCC